This 515-nucleotide ribosomal RNA is filed under the name uncultured bacterium. RNAcentral's name for it is "partial 16S ribosomal RNA". It matches the Rfam family "Bacterial small subunit ribosomal RNA", at positions 28 to 523 of the family's 1533-position model. The record is from RNAcentral.
GAUGAACGCUGGCGGCGUGCCUAAUACAUGCAAGUCGAGCGAAUGGAUUAAGAGCUUGCUCUUAUGAAGUUAGCGGCGGACGGGUGAGUAACACGUGGGUAACCUGCCCAUAAGACUGGGAUAACUCCGGGAAACCGGGGCUAAUACCGGAUAACAUUUUGAACAGCAUGGUUCGAAAUUGAAAGGCGGCUUCGGCUGUCACUUAUGGAUGGACCCGCGUCGCAUUAGCUAGUUGGUGAGGUAACGGCUCACCAAGGCGACGACGGGUAGCCGGCCUGAGAGGGUGACCGGCCACACUGGGACUGAGACACGGCCCAGACUCCUACGGGAGGCAGCAGUGGGGAAUCUUCCGCAAUGGACGAAAGUCUGACGGAGCAACGCCGCGUGAGUGAUGAAGGCUUUCGGGUCGUAAAACUCUGUUGUUAGGGAAGAACAAGUGCUAGUUGAAUAAGCUGGCACCUUGACGGUACCUAACCAGAAAGCCACGGCUAACUACGUGCCAGCAGCCGCCGUAA